This 492-nucleotide ribosomal RNA is filed under the name uncultured bacterium. RNAcentral's name for it is "partial 16S ribosomal RNA". It matches the Rfam family "Bacterial small subunit ribosomal RNA", at positions 29 to 507 of the family's 1533-position model. The record is from RNAcentral.
AGUGAACGCUGGCGGUAGGCCUAACACAUGCAAGUCGAACGGCAGCACAGUAAGAGCUUGCUCUUACGGGUGGCGAGUGGCGGACAGGUGAGGAAUACAUCGGAAUCUACUUUUUCGUGGGGGAUAACGUAGGGAAACUUACGCUAAUACCGCAUACGACCUACGGGUGAAAGCAGGGGAUCUUCGGACCUUGCGCGAUUGAAUGAGCCGAUGUCGGAUUAGCUAGUUGGCGGGGUAAAGGCCCACCAAGGCGACGAUCCGUAGCUGGUCUGAGAGGAUGAUCAGCCACACUGGAACUGAGACACGGUUCAGACUCCUACGGGAGGCAGCAGUGGGGAAUAUUGGACAAUGGGCGCAAGCCUGAUCCAGCCAUACCGCGUGGGUGAAGAAGGCCUUCGGGUUGUAAAGCCCUUUUGUUGGGAAAGAAAAGCAGCAGGUUAAUACCCCGCUGUUCUGACGGUACCCAAAGAAUAAGCACCGGCUAACUUCGUG